RNAcentral lists this ribosomal RNA (465 nucleotides) under Segatella salivae. RNAcentral's name for it is "bacterial SSU rRNA". It matches the Rfam family "Bacterial small subunit ribosomal RNA", at positions 28 to 482 of the family's 1533-position model. Lineage: Bacteria; Pseudomonadati; Bacteroidota; Bacteroidia; Bacteroidales; Prevotellaceae. The record is from RNAcentral.
GAUGAACGCUAGCUAUAGGCUUAACACAUGCAAGUCGAGGGGAAACGACAUUGAAGCUUGCUUCGAUGGGCGUCGACCGGCGCACGGGUGAGUAACGCGUAUCCAACCUGCCUCUGACUAAGGGAUAACCCGGCGAAAGUCGGACUAAUACCUUAUGAGGUUUUCUGCAGACAUCUAAUGAAAACGAAAGAUUUAUCGGUCAGUGAUGGGGAUGCGUCUGAUUAGCUUGUUGGCGGGGUAACGGCCCACCAAGGCAACGAUCAGUAGGGGUUCUGAGAGGAAGGUCCCCCACAUUGGAACUGAGACACGGUCCAAACUCCUACGGGAGGCAGCAGUGAGGAAUAUUGGUCAAUGGGCGAGAGCCCGAACCAGCCAAGUAGCGUGCAGGAUGACGGCCCUAUGGGUUGUAAACUGCUUUUAUGUGGGGAUAAAGUGAGCUACGUGUAGUUUAUUGCAGGUACCACA